AGUUGGGAGCAUUAGUAUUUAAUUGUCAGAGGUGGAAUUCUCGGAUUUGUUAAAGACUAACUUAUGCGAAAGCAUUUGCCAAGGAUGUUUUCAUUAAUCAAGAACGAAAGUUAGGGGAUCAAAGACGAUCAGAUACCGUCCUAGUCUUAACCAUAAACUAUGCCGACUCGGGAUCGGGGGCGCGAACUAUCCGCCUUCGGCACCGUAUGAGAAAUCAAAGUCUUUGGGUUCUGAGGGGAGUAUGGUCGCAAGGCUGAAACUUAAAGGAAUUGGCGGAAGGGCACCACCAGGCGUGGAGCUUGCGGCUCAAUUUGACUCAACACGGGAAAACUUACCAGGUCCAGACAUAGUGAGGAUUGACAGAUUGAUAGCUCUUUCUUGAUUCUGUGGGUGGUGGUGCAUGGCCGUUCUUAGUUGGUGGAGUGAUUUGUCUGGUUAAUUCCGUUAACGAACGAGACCUUAGCCUGCUAACUAGUCGCUGGGAUCUCUCAUCCCAGUCGGCUUCUUAGAGGGACUUUGUGAUCUAAACACAAGGAAGUUUGAGGCAAUAACAGGUCUGUGAUGCCCUUAGAUGUCCUGGGCCGCACGCGUGCUACACUGACACUUACAGCGAGUACUUCCCAGCCCCGAGAGGCGGCUGGUAAUCAGCAAUAAGUGUCGUGAUGGGGAUAGUCCUUUGGAAUUAUUG
This 688-nucleotide ribosomal RNA is filed under the name uncultured eukaryote. RNAcentral's name for it is "SSU rRNA". It matches the Rfam family "Eukaryotic small subunit ribosomal RNA", at positions 880 to 1595 of the family's 1831-position model. The record is from RNAcentral.